This 2986-nucleotide ribosomal RNA is filed under the name Candidatus Nanoarchaeia archaeon. RNAcentral's name for it is "23S ribosomal RNA". It matches the Rfam family "Archaeal large subunit ribosomal RNA". The record is from RNAcentral. RNAcentral also lists the same sequence under 1 other name. Lineage: Archaea; Nanobdellati; Nanobdellota; Candidatus Nanoarchaeia.
UGAUGUAGGCCAAAGAAGCCGGUGGGUGGAUAGCUAGGCUUCCGGAGCUGAGGAAGGGCGCGGCUAACUGCGAAAUGCCUCGGGGAGGCGUAUGCAGCCUGCGAUCCGAGGAUACCCGAAUGGGACUUCCUGCUACCCGUAAUGGGGUAGCACUCCUAACGGAGGAGGAACGCGCCGAACUGAAACAUCUUAGUAGGCGCAGGAAAAGAGACCAAUAGGCAUUCCCCGAGUACCGGAGAGGGAAAGGGGAGGAGGGCAAAGCGAACUUGCUAUCGCAAGAUAGCAAGGAUGUGUUGGCUAGGUCUAUCCCCAAAGCUGAGCCGAAGUCCCCUGGAAUGGGGCGCCAAAGAGGGUGAAAGCCCCGUAGGCGAAGGCUGCGGGGAUAAUGCUAGCCAAAGAGUACCAGGCCUUGGAACUGGUCUGGGAAGAUGCCUCGCAAUGAGAGGCAACCCUAAAUACUCCGGAAGACCGAUAGCGAACUAAGUAGCGUGAGCGAAAGCUGAAAAGCACCCCGAGAGGGGGGUGAAAAGAGCUUGAAACCCACCGGUUACGGUAGGCCAUGGCAUGAAAGGGCCAUCGCCGAAGGAAAGCUCCGCGAGGAGCGAGUACGAGGCGAUGGAGCCGGUGUCAUGGCGUCCUUUGUGGAUAAAGGGCCGGGGAGUUUGCACGUGUGGCAAGGCUAAGCCCAAGCAAGGGCGGAGCCGUAGCGAAAGCGAAGACCCGCAGUCCUCUCUUCAUGAGGACGAGGGGUCGCCUCUUAACUGGGGUAAGUCACACGUGCAAGACCCGAAACCGGGCGAUCUAGCCCUGGGCAGGGCGAAGCCACCUUUAAAGGUGGUGGAGGCCCGAAGGGGUGUUGGGGUAAAAUCCACUCCUCUGACCUGGGGCUAGGGGUAAAAAGCCAAUCGUGCCCGGCGAUAGCUGGUUCCCUCCGAAUCUGGCUACAGUCAGGCCUCGCCGGAGCUGGUUGAGGGGGUAGAGUUACUGAUCUAGUUAGGAGGCACCGAAAGGUGUCCCAACUAGGUCAAACUCCGAAUCCCUCAACAGCUGAGAAGGCGGGAGUCGGGGGCUCGGGUUAAGCUCGAGCUCCGAGACCGGAACAACGGAGACCUGGGUUAAGGCCCCUAAAUGCUGGCUAAGUGAGAAACCUGGUCGCAGAGCUUAGACAGCCGGGAGGUAGGCUUAGAAGCAGCCAUCCUCUAAGCAACGCGUAACAGCGGACCGGCCGAGCUCUGCGGCGGGGAAAAUGGACGGGACUAAGCCAGCUGCCGAGACCCAGGCGCUCAACCUUUUGGUUGAGCGGGUAGGAGGGCGCUCCACUUGGGCAGAAGCCUCUCCGUGAGGAGGGGUGGACCGAGUGGAGUUGAGAAUCCCGGCGGUAGUAGCAGCAUAGCCAGGUGAGAAUCCUGGUGGCCGGAAGGUUCAGGGUUCCUCAGCACUGCCGAUCAGCUGAGGGUUAGCCGGUCCUAACCAAGCCCCUAACUGGGAGCUUGGGAAGGGAAACCCGUUAAUAUUCGGGUGCCACCCAGUAGCAGCUGCAAAGCGGCCAAGCUCCUUGCUUCUGGCUAGGCUGAGUGCAACUCUCGUUGCACCUAACUCCAGAAGCCUAGGGAGUCUCGUAAUGAGGAGAACUAGGCGAAUGGAGGAAUGGCCCUCUUUGAGGGUUCAGCCGAUGCCAGGAGCCCAUGAAAAGGAGCUUGGAAAUGCGACCUGGGUGACCGUACCUAGAACCGGCACAGGUAACCUGGCUGAGAAGGCUAAGGCCUGAGGGGGGUAAUGGGGCUAAAGGAAAUCGGCAAAUUGGUCCCGUAACUUCGGGAGAAGGGAUGCCAGCAGUAGUAUCUUAACGAUGCUACUGCUGGUCGCAGUGACAAGGAGGGGGGGACUGUUUAACAAAAACAUAGCGGACUGCUACUCCGAAAGGAUUAGUACAGUCCGCGACGCCUGCCCAGCGCAGGUACCUGAAGCCUGGGUUCAACCAGGUCAAGGGCCUGCUAGCGGCGGGGGUAACUCUGACCCUCUUAAGCAAGCGCAAUGCCUUGCCGUUUAAUUGACGGCUUUGCGAACGGCGUAACCACUCCCUCACUGUCUCUAGCCCCAACCCCGUGAACACACCCUCCUGGUGCAAAGGCCAGGGACCCCCUGUGGGUCACUGAGUCCCCAGGAACUUUACUGCAGCCUGCUGUUGCAUUCUGGGCUUCGGGAUAGAGAGUAGGCAGGAGGGAUGAAAUACCCUCGCUAGGGGGUACGGAUCCGAAAGUGGAACACUGCCUCUCGAAGCUUAGAAUGCUAACCUGAGCUCUGCGCUCAGGGACAGCAGUUGGUGGGCAGUUUGGCUGGGGCGGUACGCCGGCGAAAAGGCAUCGCCGGUUUCCAAAGGUCGGCUCACCCGCUAUAGAAGUGCGGGGUGGAGUAUAAGGGCAAAAGCCGGCCUGACUAUGCCUCCAACAGCGGGAGGCGUAGACACGAAAGUGGGGCCUAGUGAACCUGGGUGCGCCUCUCAUUGAGGCCCCCAUUUAUAGGAAAAGCUACCCUGGGCGUAAUUGAGUCGUCGCGGGUGAGAGCUUGGAUCGACCCCGCGGCUUGCUACAUCGAUGUCGGCUCCUCCUAUCCUGGCCGUACAUUAGCGGCCAAGGGUACGGGUGCUCACCGGUUAAAAGGGGUCGUGAGCUGGGUUCAGUUCGUCGUGAGACAGGACGGUUGCGAACUACAGGGGGUGCGCUCUGCCUGAGUGGAAGACACACCUAGUACGAAAGGAACGGUGUGUCGGCGCCUCUGGUCUACGGGCUAUCCGAGAGGGUAAGCCCGGCAGCCACGCGCCAAGGGAUAAGAGCUGAAUGCAUCUAAGCUCGAAGCCCGCCGCGAAAAUAGGCAGAGUUUGAGGGCGGCCCUAGAAGAGGGCGUUAAUGGGGCAGGGGUGUAAGCACCAAGGCCAAAAGCCGAGGUGUUCAGCCCGCUGCUCCCAAUAGCCCGAAGGCCUACAUCA